This 2884-nucleotide long non-coding RNA is filed under the name Equus caballus (horse). RNAcentral's name for it is "lncRNA (ENSECAG00000055207.1)". Lineage: Eukaryota; Metazoa; Chordata; Mammalia; Perissodactyla; Equidae. The record is from RNAcentral.
GGGGAGGGAAAGGGGAGGGGGUCUCCUGCGUCCCUCCCUUCCUCCUCCCUCCCCCACCCCGCGAAGCCACCUGACCCGUCUCCAAGUUGUCGGGCCGUGGUGCGCAGGGCCUUUGUGCGCACGGAGGCAGCCGCCUGGAACCUGGAGCCCUGAGCGGCCUGGCUGCGCAGCCUCCCCACGCCCUUCACUCCGAGCGGGGAGUCCCCUGCCCCCAUCUGCGGAGCUGGCAAAUAAAUAAACCCUCAAACAAAUUCUCGUGUGCUGGGGAGGAGCGGCGGUGUGGGCAGCGCUGGAGAGAAGGCUCGGGUGCAGCGAGGCUGGGCCCACGGUGCGGGGCGACUGGAGCACAACCUGAGCCGGGCCUGCCAGCAGUAAGUUGACUCUUAUGAAACCUUCAGAGGCUCCCAGGCCACCAAGAAGGUCCCCAGUGGGCUGAGGCAGAAGGGCGGACGGGGCGGAGGCUGGAGGUAGGCUCUCUUUCCCACCGGGCACCCCGGUUGACUCCACCCCCACGCCCAGGGCAGCUCUUCCUCCCUCGGGCCAGGGUGGGGGCUGCCAGUCACUGGGAAUGCAAGGGGUGAGCCUCGGACCCCAUCGGUGCUCAGGACUCGGAGAGGUAAAAAUGGCAAGAGGAAAUGCCCUCAGGCUGCCCUGGGGAUGGCAAAAAGCAAAGGGGCGCAACCAGGCUGCCUGCGAUGCUUGUGCAGAGGCCUCCGUGGUGGAGCAAGUCAGAGGGGAGGGGGCGCAAGGGUUGGGACAGGUCUGAGGGGCAGCACCCUCCCCCAGCCCUGGGGGAGCCAGCCCUGGGGGAGGAAAGGGGACUCGGAAAAGGUUUAGCAUCUGUAAACCUGAGGAUCCGUGCCCCCUAGAAUGCAAACAAGCUCUAGGGAGCUGGAGGCCGGAGCCGCCAAGAACCCAUCCAGGAAGCCAAGGGUGGGGGCAGGCAUCUACCCUCCCGGCCCCACCUGGGCCUCAACUCUUCCUGGGAGAGGACGGACGAAAAGUCUGGAGGCAAGGCCGGAGAAGUCGAGACGGGUUCAGGGUUCAGCUUUAACACCAUGGACAGCGGAUCCCACUGCUGUGGGGAGCAGCAUCAGGCUGAGGGUGGGUGUCCAGCGCCACAGGGCCGGCAGAGGCAGAGGGAGACGCAGUCUCUGAUGAAGCUGAAACUGCCAGCUGCCCAGCGUCCUUCACUGUCCACCCCGGCCAGUGAGAGCGCCCGUCGCGAGCUGUGAGCCCCAAAGGUCUGGGGAGGUUUCCUGAGUGUGAUGCACUGGGGGUAUGCGUGGGGGGGUGGGUGCGUGCCUGCCUUGGGAGAGAGAAGGGUCGGUAAAGGGUGAAGGAAUGAGGGCCAGCCCAAACGGUCAGGCUGAAGCUGCACCGAGGGGGAGGGGCAACCUGGCUGGUGGAGGACAAGCAGGUUUGGGGCAGAGCCACCCUGAGUCCCAACACCCUUCCCAGUUGGCUCUCCUUGCCCCGCAGUGCUGGAGAGGCUGAGAGGGAAGGAAGCAGGAUGGCACACCCAGGGCAGUGGGGUCAGUAGGUUCUGCUCUAAGGCAGAUGGCGCAGGGGCUGGGCUGGCCUGGAGGGAAGGAGAGGGGCAGAGGCCUGCGGCCCACCCUAGGCCUGCAGCUCCCGCACGCUCUGCACCGCAACAAAGACCCAUGGGGGAGGCAUGAGGCGGUGUGACUUAGGAAAGCCGCUGAUCCUUGGCCCUAGAGAGACAGAUCAGGGUCAGCCCUCCGAAGGACCCUAAGGGGAGGGCACUCGCCCCGCAGUCAGCCCAUGAGGUGUCUGUCGCCUGCGCUUCCGUGGUCUCUGGGGGCAAGAACUCCCCCCGCCUCGCCCCAGUCAGGACACAGUGAGAAAAGGGAGCCGUCUUUGACGAGGGGUCGCUGUCUCUCUCCUCCGCAUAACCACCCAGCAAGGCCUGUGCCCCGUGGGCGCUGUGCUCCCUCCGCAAGUCCCUUCCCUUCCUCCGGGGGCUGGAGGGGCUGCUGGGAAAUGACGGCGGGAACCUGCGGUGAAGGUCUGAGUUCAGAGGAGCGUCUGCGGGCGCGGCUGGCUGUGUGCGGUCGAGGCGUGGCUGGUGGGUGUCAGUGUGUGCCCAGAGCGGCUGUGGCCGGCGGGCUGCAGGAGGAGCACCCGCGUGGGCGCGGGCGGGGUUGGAGCGUGUGAGAGAGAGAGGUGUUUCCUUGGUCAUCCGUGUGGCCACAGGGCGCCGGGCACGGUCCAGGAUGCUCGAGGGCGGCGUCCAUGCAGCGGCGUGUGGGGCCCGCGGGCACCGAGGAGAAGGCGGGAACGGGCAACGCUGGGGAGCGGAGGCGGAGACGGCGGCGGCCGAGGAGCGGCAGGCGUCGGCGGCAGCUCCCGCCCGGGACGGGUAACUGCGCUCGGGGCCGGGCCGGGGCGAAUCCAGUGAGCGGCCUCUCCGGGUCUCGCCGUCUUUCUCCCCGCCAACAGCUCGAACCUUCUCGCCGGGCCCCGGCGCGCGGGGUGGGCGAGCUCGCUGGGCUGUAAAAAGAGACUGGUUUCAUCUCUGAGCAUCGAGAUUCUUUCUUUUAACCGCAUCCGUAGCGCACUCGUGGGUCCGGCGGGGAGGGGAGCGCAGCGCGGGGAGGGCGGCGGCGGAGAAGCUCGCGCUGGCCUGUCGGAGCGGGCUCUGCACCUCUCGCGGCCCGCGGGAGGCAGCUAGGCGCGCACACGCUCGCUCGCCUCCUCGCCGCGAUUCCGCGGGGCGCCAGUCACCCAGGACGCCCCGAGGGGCUUGCUUGGGGCCCCCUCCCUGCUGCGGAAGGGGGAGAAGAGUGGGCUCCUCAGAGUUGGGGGCGGAUCCGGGCUGGAGUCCGAGGAAGCACCGUCGGCGUGGCGCAGCGCCCCCGCC